UUUAAGUGUAACUAUGAGUUUCUGCGCUAAACUUUGAUCGCCCGUCUUAUUUGAAAUUUUUUAUUUAGUAUUUUUGUUGUUAUGAGAUGAUAAAACACGAAUAGUACUUUACUCAUGACUUAUAUUUUUUUAAUUUUUUCAAAUAAAACGGACGAUGGAAGUUAGACACGGAAACCAUGGCUGCACUUAAA
Oryza barthii is the source of this 191-nucleotide non-coding RNA. NCBI's taxonomy places the organism in Eukaryota, Viridiplantae, Streptophyta, Magnoliopsida, Poales, Poaceae. The record is from Rfam.